RNAcentral lists this ribosomal RNA (464 nucleotides) under uncultured bacterium. RNAcentral describes it as "partial 16S ribosomal RNA". It matches the Rfam family "Bacterial small subunit ribosomal RNA", at positions 28 to 507 of the family's 1533-position model. The record is from RNAcentral.
GACGAACGCUGGCGGCGUGCUUAACACAUGCAAGUCGAACGGUAAGGCCCCUUCGGGGGUACACGAGUGGCGAACGGGUGAGUAACACGUGAGCAACCUGCCCUUGACUUUGGGAUACCAGCUGGAAACAGCUGCUAAUACCGGAUAUGACCUCUUCUCUCAUGGGUUGAGGUGGAAAGCUCCGGCGGUCAGGGAUGGGCUCGCGGCCUAUCAGCUUGUUGGUGAGGUAAUGGCUCACCAAGGCUUCGACGGGUAGCCGGCCUGAGAGGGCGACCGGCCACACUGAGACUGAGAUACGGCCCAGACUCCUACGGGAGGCAGCAGUGGGGAAUAUUGCACAAUGGGCGCAAGCCUGAUGCAGCAACGCCGCGUGCGGGAUGACGGCCUUCGGGUUGUAAACCGCUUUCAGUAGGGACGAAGCUAACGUGACGGUACCUACAGAAGAAGGACCGGCUAACUACGUG